Molecule: ribosomal RNA, 497 nt
Filed under: uncultured bacterium
Lineage: Bacteria
Description: partial 16S ribosomal RNA
Rfam family: Bacterial small subunit ribosomal RNA
Source: RNAcentral
GAUGAACGCUGGCGGCGUGCCUAAUACAUGCAAGUCGAGCGAACAGACGAGGAGCUUGCUCCUCUGACGUUAGCGGCGGACGGGUGAGUAACACGUGGAUAACCUACCUAUAAGACUGGGAUAACUUCGGGAAACCGGAGCUAAUACCGGAUAAUAUAUUGAACCGCAUGGUUCAAUAGUGAAAGACGGUUUUGCUGUCACUUAUAGAUGGAUCCGCGCCGCAUUAGCUAGUUGGUAAGGUAACGGCUUACCAAGGCAACGAUGCGUAGCCGACCUGAGAGGGUGAUCGGCCACACUGGAACGGAGACACGGUCCAGACUCCUACGGGAGGCAGCAGUAGGGAAUCUUACGCAAUGGGCGAAAGCCUGACGGAGCAACGCCGCGUGAGUGAUGAAGGUCUUCGGAUCGUAAAACUCUGUUAUUAGGGAAGAACAAAUGUGUAAGUAACUAUGCACGUCUUGACGGUACCUAAUCAGAAAGCCACGGCCAACUACGUG